CUGCUCCUAGUACGAGAGGACCGGAGUGGACGCAUCACUGGUGUUCGGGUUGUCAUGCCAAUGGCACUGCCCGGUAGCUAAAUGCGGAAGAGAUAAGUGCUGAAAGCAUCUAAGCACGAAACUUGCCCCGAGAUGAGUUCUCCCUGAGACUUUAGGUCUCCUGAAGGAACGUUGAAGACGACGACGUUGAUAGGCCGGGUGUGUAAGCGCAGCGAUGCGUUGAGCUAACCGGUACUAAUGAACCGUGAGGCUUAACCUU
Molecule: ribosomal RNA, 259 nt
Filed under: Salmonella enterica
Lineage: Bacteria; Pseudomonadati; Pseudomonadota; Gammaproteobacteria; Enterobacterales; Enterobacteriaceae
Also listed under: 2 other names
Description: partial 23S ribosomal RNA
Rfam family: Bacterial large subunit ribosomal RNA
Source: RNAcentral